Molecule: unclassified non-coding RNA, 269 nt
Filed under: plant metagenome
Description: partial contains small subunit ribosomal RNA, internal transcribed spacer 1, and 5.8S ribosomal RNA
Source: RNAcentral
UUUCCGUAGGUGAACCUGCGGAAGGAUCAUUAAUGAGUUGUCAUGGGGUUCGAUGCUGGCAGCCAAUUUUUGGAUGCAUGUGCUCGCCCUAACAAUCAUCUUCCAAACGCCUGUGCACAUUUUUGAGGGAGUCUUGAGUUGGUUGCCGCUCUUGGGUGAUUUUCUCACAUUCCCUUAAAUCAUUAUACGCUAUUAACAAUGUUGAACGUGCUCUGUGCCGCAAGGCUAUUAAUAUAAUACAACUUUUAACAACGGAUCUCUUGGCUCUC